RNAcentral lists this ribosomal RNA (292 nucleotides) under uncultured bacterium. RNAcentral's name for it is "partial 16S ribosomal RNA". It matches the Rfam family "Bacterial small subunit ribosomal RNA", at positions 505 to 796 of the family's 1533-position model. The record is from RNAcentral.
GUGCCAGCAGCCGCGGUAAUACGUAGGGUGCGAGCGUUGUCCGGAAUUAUUGGGCGUAAAGGGCUCGUAGGCGGUCUGUCGCGUCGGGAGUGAAAACGCCGUGCUUAACACGGCGCUUGCUUUCGAUACGGGCAGACUGGAGGCAUGCAGGGGAGAACGGAAUUCCUGGUGUAGCGGUGAAAUGCGCAGAUAUCAGGAGGAACACCGGUGGCGAAGGCGGUUCUCUGGGCAUGUCCUGACGCUGAGGAGCGAAAGUGUGGGGAGCGAACAGGAUUAGAAACCCUCGUAGUCC